Molecule: microRNA precursor, 128 nt
Filed under: Myotis brandtii (Brandt's bat)
Lineage: Eukaryota; Metazoa; Chordata; Mammalia; Chiroptera; Vespertilionidae
Description: mir-9193 microRNA precursor family
Rfam family: mir-9193 microRNA precursor family
Source: Rfam by way of RNAcentral
CGUGCACUGGUGGGGUCCCUUGGCCUGGCCUGCACCCUCUCACAAUCUGGGACCCUUUGGGGAAUGUCUUGGAGAGCCAGUUUCAGCCCGAUCCUGCAGGCCAGGCCAAGGGACCCCACUGGUGCACA